Molecule: ribosomal RNA, 484 nt
Filed under: uncultured bacterium
Lineage: Bacteria
Description: bacterial SSU rRNA
Rfam family: Bacterial small subunit ribosomal RNA
Source: RNAcentral
AUUGAACGCUAGCGGCAUGCCUUACACAUGCAAGUCGAACGGCAGCGCGGGAGCAAUCCUGGCGGCGAGUGGCGAACGGGUGAGUAAUGCAUCGGAACGUGCCCAUCGAUGGGGAUAACUGCGCGAAAGCGUUGCUAAUACCGCAUACGACCUACGGGUGAAAGCAGGGGACCGCAAGGCCUUGCGUCGAUGGAGCGGCCGAUGUCGGAUUAGCUAGUUGGUGAGGUAAAGGCUUACCAAGGCGACGAUCCGUAGCUGGUCUGAGAGGACGACCCAGCCACACUGGGACUGAGACACGGCCCAGACUCCUACGGGAGGCAGCAGUGGGGAAUCUUGGACAAUGGGCGCAAGCCUGAUCCAGCAAUGCCGCGUGUGGGAAGAAGGCCUUCGGGUUGUAAACCACUUUUGGCAGGAAAGAAAUCGUCCGGGCCAAUACCCUGGAUGGAUGACGGUACCUGCAGAAUAAGCACCGGCUAACUACGUG